CCCCGGGUGCGGGGAGGCCGGGCGGGGCCGCACCUUCUCCCGGGCCCGAGAACCUGAGCCCGGGUUCGAGGCCCGGGAGGGCGGGACGUCCAGACGACAGCCUCUCUGUAAAAUCUCUUGCUAAAGGGGUUCAGAGUCCCGUUCUUCACCUCUCAGCCCUUCAGAGACCACCCCAUGUCUAGCUUCUUGGGGUGACCUGAGAUGCCCAAGUCACCGAGGACAAGUUAAUAAGCUAAACCAUCCGCGGUCUGUUUCCUGUUUUGCCCAUUGUGGGGAAGGCAGCCCCUGGCCUCCCUAAUUGUUCCUACAAGACUGGGAACUUCAUAAGAACACGUGAGAUAACAAGCGUGUAAAAUGCUGCAGAAAGCCUAGAAGGACAUUUGGUGAUUUGAGGCAUGUCCGUUUAUAGAUUGCUGUUGCUGUGGCAGAAUACCUAGAUAAACACCUAAGAGGGAAGAUUUCCUUUGGAUCACAGUGAUUUCAGUGCAUGGCCACAUGGGCCUCACUUUGAGCUGUGCAGCACAGUACACCGUGGCCUGGAGCGUGAAUUUAUUAGAAUUGCCAUAUAUCUUAUGCAUACAAGAACCUUGGGAAAUAGAUAAAGAGAAAUGCCAUGUGUCGUCAGAUACUGAAGUUGUGAAGUUAGAAGACAUUUGCUAAGUCAGAUCACCUCAAAGUGGAACAGAGGAAAGUGAACACCUAAGUACCUACGGAGAGGAAUGACGCUGCUUUCAGGAGAUAACACCAGAAGAGGGGGUGACACCUGCUGCCAAAAACACAGGAAGUCUGCUGAGGGAGCACUUGGACUUCUGGGCCCUCGCACUCCAGCCAGAAGACUGUCUUCUCCAAACCUCAGGAUUUAGCAGGAAAGUUACUGUUCAAGUUGGUGUUCCCAAACACAUCAUGAUGCAUAAUUCUUUAUCAGUACCACCAAAAGAUCAAGACCACAUGAAAGGAGUCAACUCUGCAAAGUCUUCAGGCUUUGGGUUGUCACUGGUUUCUGAGACCACCAGUGGCACCUUCCUCAGUGCUGAACUGGCCUCCAGUGCCCAGGGCCAUGGAGCAGCUGUGCUUCCAGAGGAGCUUGGCAGGAACUGUGCCAGGCUGCUGCUUGAAGAGAUCCAUAGGGAUGGAUGUGUAGACUUAGCCAACCAGAGACCAAAGUCUGGCUCUGUUGCUCUUGACCCUUGGACAGCAGGAUGUUUCCAGAUUCCUGCUAGGGCCACUCUCUUCUUAUAUGAUCGAGUUUUUAUAGCAUUUGAAGCACUUUUUCCAGACUGUGUUUAAAAUAGAAACCAAGUCAUUGGUGAAGAACCCGAGGCUAAGGGUAAAAUGCUAAUGACCAGUUGGCUUCUCCAACCUUAGCAAGACCCUCAAGUGAUACUGUCACAAGAUAACUUUCCAUUGCCUGCAGACAAAAGAGAAGCUGCCAAAUGGACCAAGUACAGAUGUAUUCAUCCAAGACAGGAUAACCUGUAUUUUAAGGACUUUCUUAAUUUUUCAUUAAAAAUAUCGGUAUACAAAUAAAAACCAUCCCUUCAUCAUGUGGUUUCCAGCCAUUCUUCCAGUAGCAUUGACAUUCCUUAGGGGACCAGUCACUGUGGCGCUUCCCUGUUUGACCUGGAAGAAGAGUACCUUGAGGUUAUGUUCAUGCUGAUGGAACAAUACCACAGUGGCAGUUCUAUGCUUCGUCAGUCCACGUCCCUCAGAUUCUGUUCUGUAACCAUCUUCCAGACCUGUGGAAUCUGUUACUGUUCUUUGUGCAAAGACUUAACCUCAGCUUCUAUUGUAGAGAUUAAAUGUAGCUGGGGGCCGGGGGGGGCACAAACAAACAAAAUAGAAACAUGACAAGGCAAGCCAACAAAAUGCCUCCAAAACCCCCAGCUCCCCCAAAGCUGAUCCAUGAGACAUCAAAGAGGAGGAAAACAAAAGCCAUACACCUGAAUUACUUGAAAUGAUUUCAGGGGAGAUAAACAGAUCAGUAAGGCAUUUGGCAAGAUCACAGAAGACACAAGUAAAUAACACUGGACCAAGUAAACAAAACUCAGCAAGUCUAUGGAAGACUAAUUAAUAAAAAGCUAGCAGAGCUGAACAAAGUGAUGCAAAAUAUUAACGACUAUCGUAGAAAAUAUCUAGAGUCCAUAAAAAGACUCCAAAUAGAAUUCAGGAGAUUAAAAAUCUUGUCAGAAAUAUGGGCAGUAGAAGUGACAGUUGUGAGGAAAGAAUGUCAGAACUAGAAAGAGAGUUGUCAUCAGUGACAAAUUAAUGAGAAAUACCUUAACAAACAAAAAGAACAUAAAAAAUGGAUCCAACAGCUCCAAGAUGACAUGACGAUUAAUCUAAGAUUAAUUAGAAUUAGUGAAAAAUCAGAAGACAGCACAAAUGGCACUAAUAAAACCUUUUUAACUACAGCAAUAGCAGAAAACUUUCCAAAUUAGGGAAAAGGAUUUAACAUACAGAUAAGUCAGGCAUAUAGAGGCCCAACUAGCCAUGACCAGAAAAGAAUCUCUCCACGACACAUCAUAGUCAAAAUUCUGGAAGUCUGGCACAAGAACCAAAUCUUAAAUGUGGUUAGCAAAAAGCAACAAAACACUCAUAAAGCCAGGCCUCGUGUGCACACCUGUAAUCCCAGCACUUGAGAGACUGAGGCAGGAGAAUCACUGUGAGUUCAAGGCCAACCUGGGCUAUACAUAGUAAGUUCAAGACCAUCCUGAACUAAAAAGCGAGACCCUGUCUCAAAAAACAAAAACAAACAAAAAACACUCAUAAAGGUAAACUCAUUGGAAUUAUAGUAGACUUCUCAACACAAACCUUAAAGGAAAGAAAAGCUUGGAGUGAAGUGUUUCAAGAAAAUUAUUUCCAACCUAGGUUAAUAUAUACUGUGAAACUAUCUUUCAAAGUUGAUGGAGAAAUAAGAUACUUUCAUGAUAAAGAGCACCUAAUGAAAUUCAUGACCACCAAACCAGCACUCCAAAAAUUUCUCAAAGAUAAUCCUAGAAAGACACAAUGACGCUAACAAUGAGAAAAGGCUCUAAUAGAAUGAAUACACUGGGUAGGGUGAGCAGUUAAGUGGAAGGGAAAGACUGGGAAUCCAAAACAGUAAAAUAAGGCAAUAACAAGAAUAAGUCAUUACCUUAAAAAAAAAAAAAAAGAAUAAGUCAUUACCUAUCAGUAAUAACUCCCAAUGUGAAUGGUCUCAAUACCCCAAUCAAAAGACACAGAAUGGCAGAAUGGAUCAAGAUCCAGUGGUAUGCUAUUUAUACGAAAUACAUUUAUCCCAAAAAGAAACACAUAGAUUAAAAAUCAAAGGAUGGAAAACAAAAUAGCAGGUAUAGCUAUCCUAUAUUCAAACAAAGUGGACUUAAAGCCAAAAUUGAUCAAAAGAGGUACAGAAGGUGACUACAUACUGUGUUUCCCAGAAAAUGAGACCUAGCUGGAAAAUUCUUGGCUUACCUCCCUUACAGAGUAGCCACCAAGCAAGAAAGUAGUGAUGGCAGGUAAGGCAAGGAAGGAUAGCCUGAUUGGGGCUGGCAGUUUUGAUCCCUACUUUGGAGGCUGAUUAUUUUCUAGCUAGGUCUCAUUUUUGAGGAAAGAGUUUAUUGGUUAAGGGAAUAAUCUAACAGGAAGUGAUAACAAUUAUUAGCAUAUAUGCACCAAACAGUGGCUCACCCAGCUUUAUAAAACAAGUACUACUAAACACAAAAGACCAGAUAAAUACCCAGUUAUAGUGGGGGACCUCAAUAGCCCAGUAACACAAA
Molecule: non-coding RNA, 3758 nt
Organism: Heterocephalus glaber (naked mole-rat)
Lineage: Eukaryota; Metazoa; Chordata; Mammalia; Rodentia; Bathyergidae
Source: RefSeq, a predicted model, not a curated record